UUCUUAUUAGCUCAAUGGUAGAGCAGAAUACUUCUAAUAUUUGAUCCAAGUUCGAGUCUUGGAUAAGAAU
Molecule: transfer RNA, 70 nt
Filed under: Aspergillus sp. HF37
Lineage: Eukaryota; Fungi; Ascomycota; Eurotiomycetes; Eurotiales; Aspergillaceae
Rfam family: tRNA
About the family: Transfer RNA (tRNA) molecules are approximately 80 nucleotides in length. Their secondary structure includes four short double-helical elements and three loops (D, anti-codon, and T loops). Further hydrogen bonds mediate the characteristic L-shaped molecular structure. tRNAs have two regions of fundamental functional importance: the anti-codon, which is responsible for specific mRNA codon recognition, and the 3' end, to which the tRNAs corresponding amino acid is attached (by aminoacyl-tRNA synthetases). tRNAs cope with the degeneracy of the genetic code in two manners: having more than one tRNA (with a specific anti-codon) for a particular amino acid; and 'wobble' base-pairing, i.e. permitting non-standard base-pairing at the 3rd anti-codon position.
Source: Rfam by way of RNAcentral